GAGGAUGUAGCUCAGUGGUAGAACGUCCGCUUUGCAUGUGAAAGGUCCCAAAUUCGAUCCCCGGCAUCUCCA
This 72-nucleotide transfer RNA is filed under the name Cordylochernes scorpioides. Its description in RNAcentral is "tRNA-Ala". It matches the Rfam family "tRNA". From Rfam's summary of the family: Transfer RNA (tRNA) molecules are approximately 80 nucleotides in length. Lineage: Eukaryota; Metazoa; Arthropoda; Arachnida; Pseudoscorpiones; Chernetidae. The record is from RNAcentral.